AUGAACGCUAGCGACAGGCCUAACACAUGCAAGGUCGAGGGGCAGCACAAGGAGCAAUCUGAGGUGGCGACCGGCGCACGGGUGAGUAACACGUAUGCAACCUGCCUGCAAGCGGGGAAUAACCCGUUGAAAGACGGACUAAUACCGCAUAAUACUAAAUUACUGCAUGGUAAUUUAUUUAAACAUUUAUGGCUUACAGAUGGGCAUGCGCAUGAUUAGCUAGUUGGAGAGGUAACGGCUCCCCAAGGCAACGAUCAUUAGGGGUUCUGAGAGGAAGGUCCCCCACACUGGUACUGAGACACGGACCAGACUCCUACGGGAGGCAGCAGUGAGGAAUAUUGGUCAAUGGACGAGAGUCUGAACCAGCCAAGUCGCGUGCAGGAAGAAUGUCCUUAAUGGAUUGUAAACUGCUUUUGCAGGGGAAUAAAGUGCAUCACGUGUGAUGUUUUGUAUGUACUCUGCGAAUAAGGAUCGGCUAACUCCGUGCCAGCAGCGGC
RNAcentral lists this ribosomal RNA (497 nucleotides) under uncultured bacterium. Its description in RNAcentral is "bacterial SSU rRNA". It matches the Rfam family "Bacterial small subunit ribosomal RNA", at positions 29 to 518 of the family's 1533-position model. The record is from RNAcentral.